Molecule: unclassified non-coding RNA, 215 nt
Filed under: Glomus sp.
Lineage: Eukaryota; Fungi; Glomeromycota; Glomeromycetes; Glomerales; Glomeraceae
Description: partial contains 5.8S ribosomal RNA and internal transcribed spacer 2
Rfam family: 5.8S ribosomal RNA (bases 1-65)
Source: RNAcentral
GUGAAUCAUCGAAUUUUUGAACGCAUAUUGCACUCUCUUCGGAGAGUAUGCCCGUUUGAGGGUCAGCCUAGAAAAAAUUGACAUAAUCGAUGUUUCGCGGUGACUGGCGUCGGAAGUUGGGUCUUCUUAAACCUUGGGGUUUUAAGAGGUUUAAAUUUUUCUUUACGAUUCCACGAACGUUUCUAAGAUUUACUUCUUACACGUUUAAGGUAUGG